RNAcentral lists this ribosomal RNA (373 nucleotides) under uncultured organism. Its description in RNAcentral is "partial 16S ribosomal RNA". It matches the Rfam family "Bacterial small subunit ribosomal RNA", at positions 527 to 896 of the family's 1533-position model. The record is from RNAcentral.
GUAGGUGGCAAGCGUUGUCCGGAAUUAUUGGGCGUAAAGCGCGCGCAGGCGGUCCUUUAAGUCUGAUGUGAAAGCCCACGGGCUCAACCGUGGAGGGUCAUUGGAAACUGGGGGACUUGAGUACAGAAGAGGAAAGCGGAAUUCCACGUGUAGCGGUGAAAUGCGUAGAGAUGUGGAGGAACACCAGUGGCGAAGGCGGCUUUCUGGUCUGUAACUGACGCUGAGGCGCGAAAGCGUGGGGAGCGAACAGGAUUAGAUACCCUGGUAGUCCACGCCGUAAACGAUGAGUGCUAAGUGUUAGGGGGUUUCCGCCCCUUAGUGCUGCAGCUAACGCAUUAAGCACUCCGCCUGGGGAGUACGGCCGCAAAGGCUG